Rattus norvegicus (Norway rat) is the source of this 4789-nucleotide long non-coding RNA. RefSeq lists it as uncharacterized. The record is from RefSeq and is a predicted model, not a curated record. Lineage: Eukaryota; Metazoa; Chordata; Mammalia; Rodentia; Muridae.
GGUUUGGCAGGGGAAAAAAAAAUCUGCGGGCUCCUCACAGGCACACUCUUGUGGCCGGUUGAAGUUUAUCGCCUUGGCUGAGAUUCGUCAAUGCUGUGCACAUUUGCGACCAUAGGAAAUGUCCAGAAAUCUCAGUUCUGGCAGCCAGAACCUGAAAUGGGCCUCACCGGACUAAGAGUCAGCGCGUUGGCACACUGAAGGCUGUGUUCUUCCUGGCAGCUCUAGCUGAGCCACCAGCUUCUGCACGCUGCCCACACGCCUUGGCCGGCAGCCACUUCCUCAUCUUCAAAACCAUCGACAUUGCAUCAUUCCGUCUGUCUUGGGUACUCAGGGCACACUUUCUCCAUUGUUUGCUUUUCUCUUCCCUUUUAACUUAAAUUAUUUCAAACAUGUAGUGUGUGUGUGUGUGUGUGUGUGUGUGUGUGUGUGUGUGUGUGUGUGCACGCUUGCAUGUGACAGCAUGUGUGUGGAAGUCCCUCGGAAGGCAGUUUUCCUUGAACCUUGUGUGUUCUGAGGAUUGGUCAGCAUGGUAGUAAGCACCCUUUACUGUUGAGCGUUCUUUCUAGCCCCUUCUCUUCCAUUUCCAUGGACCCCACCCCCUGGGUUAUCUUGGUCCUUCCUGGAUAAUUCACACAUCUAUUUUAAGGCCAGCUGACUAGCAAUGUACUCCCAUCUGCUACCUUGAUUCUCUUCCUGCCAUUUAAGGUCACAUAGUCCCGGGUUCCUGGUUAGGAUAUAGAUGUCGUUGGAGGAGCCAUUUAUGCUACCCACCAUGGGUUUCUUUUCCUUUCUCCUUUCUUUCCAAAAGACAUUCAUGUGUAUUUUAUUGUCAUUGGCUUUAUUGGUUUCUUUAAAAAAAAAGAUUUAUUUUAUUUUAUUAUUUAUUUUGUCUGCAUGUAUGUCUAUGUGUGAGUGUCAGAUCCCCUGGAACUGAAGUUACAGACAGUUGUGAGCUGUUAUGUGGUUGCUGGGAAUUGAACUCAGGAGCUCAGGAAGAGCAGCCAGUGCUCUUAACCCCUGAGCCAUCUCUCCAGUUCCCUCCCCCAACCACAUGCCCCCCCCCUUUUUUUUAAUUUUUGAGAGACAGUAGCUCACAUGCCCCCAUCCCCCCGGUGCCCUGGAAGUAGCUAUGUGGCUGAAGAUGGCUUUGAACUUCCGAUCUACCUGCUUCCCUCUCCCAAGUGCUGGGGUUACAGCCAUAUACCAACAGUCAGUUUUUGUAGUGCUGGGAAUAAGAGUUGGAGCUCGGUGCAUGCUAGGCAAAGGCUCCCUGGACUGAGCCACAACCCCAGCCUUCCUUAGUCAUCUUAAUAACAGAUGAUUGUGGAGGACGACGAGAUGACAUUUGCAGGACCACUUUUCCGAUGAAGAUGGCAGAGCAAAUGGACUUGUUGAGUACUUCCUCAGGCUGUUCUUCUCAGACACCGUGCGUUCCAAACACGCUUUUGUCAGUCAGUCAAGACUGGGAACUCAGGUGUGGUGGAUCACACCAAUUUUUCUAGCACUUGGGAGAUUGGGGGGUUCAAGGCCAGUCUGCUGGGCUACAAGACAGCUUGUUUGUUCUCUUUCUCUGUCUCUCUCUGUCUCUCUCCCUGACUCUCUGUCUCUCUCUGUCUCUCUCUGUCUCGCUCGCUCUCUCCUUUCUUUAGGAAUAGAGUCCCACACAAGUAUCUCAAGAACAGAUGAUCCUUCUGUUUUUAAAAGAGGUGUUAUGGAUUGAGUUUAGUGUGAGGCAUCCCCCAUAGGCUCAUGAUUCUGGAGGCUUGGUCUCCAGCCAUCCGUGAUAUCUGGGCAGGUUCUGGAACAUUCGGGACACGUGGUGUGUGUGGCUAGCAGAAGUGAGUGGGCUGUGGGCAGGCUUUGAGGAUUCCGUCUGCUUCUGGUGCUGUCCUGAGCACUCUACUUUCUGAUCCAUAAGAAACAAAGGGUUACUGACACGGGCCGCUACUGUCAUGGGUAGAACCUCUCCGUGUGGAGCCUUCUUUGUCACUGAAGAUGGACCUGUGAGACCUUAAGCCAAAGUAAAUCCUUCCUCCUUUAAGCUGCUCCUGUUGGAAUUUUGUCAGUGAGAAGAAAACGAAUACAAGAGGUCUGUAAGAUCAAGAUCCUCUCUUGACCUCCCAGGCCUGCAAUCUUGCAGAUCUCUAAGAGCAUGAUUUAUCAUAAAUAUGGGGAACCAUCGCCUUAGUCAGAUAACUCCCAAAAACUCCCUGUGCCUCCUUGGCAUUUGGGCUUCAUUCCUUCUAAUGUCCUCAGGCAGCCUCUCACCCAUCUACUAAAUCUAUUUUUUCUUAUUUUACUUUAUUUCAUGUUUGAGUGUUUUCCUUCCAUGUAUGUCUGUGUACCAGGCAUGCGCCUGGUGUCCCCAGAGAAGAAGGCAUUGGAACUACAGUUAUAUAGAUAGUUGAGAGCUGUCACAUGGGUGUGGGAAACAGAAUCUGGGUCCUCUGCAAGAUCAGCAAAUGCUCUUAACAGCUCUCCAGUACCCAAGUCCUUUUUUUCCCCCCGAGACAAGAGUUUCUCUGUGUAGCCCUGCCUGACCUGGAACUCACUUUGUUACUAGAUUGACUUCGCCUGCCUCUGCCUCCUGAGUGCUGGAAUUAAAGAUGCUUCCAGGCUCUAAAUCUGUUUUUUUUUUUUUUUUUGAUGUAAAAAAAAAAUUGCAAUGCAAGCCGGACACAUUGUCAGGAGGCCGAGGCAAGCAGAUCUCUGUGAGUUGGAAGCCACCUUUAUAUACACAGUGAGUUACAGAUAACCAGGGCUACACCGUGGGUUCCUGUCUGAAAAAAAAAGUGAAAAAUUAGAAAAUACAAUAAAGUCUCCAUACUGGGAAGGGAAAUGUAAAAUUAUCUCUUAUUCAGGUGAUACGAUUAUAUAUAUAGAAAAAUAAUGGAAACCCCAGAAAAUGUUAGGACUGGCCACUGAAGUGCAGUUUCAUUUUCAAUAGCAUCAAAAGGAACUUUUAAGGUUGGAAAUGAAGUUCAGUGAAGUACUGAACUGUGUGAAUGUAACUUUUAUUCUCCUGGUGUGUGGGGUCCAGGAGUCGUCCCACAGACUGCACGGACACUGAUCUCAGUUAAACAGGGAUGGUCCAAGACUGAUCGACCAGGGCGACAGCUUAAAGCUGUGUCCUGGACAUUUCCCAGGGCCAGCUUGUAAAGGCUAAAACUGCAAAAAACGCAAUGAGCUCAUAAGCAGGUACUCGAGUAUUGCCUGGUGGUUGCCCCUGACAUAAGCCAUUUUAGACAGAACAAUCCAUAUUGACCUUUAAUUUGGUGAGUCCUACAUGAAGAUCAUGGUUGUGGAAUUUCUUAAGAUUAACAAACCUCAGAACAUACCAAACAUAAUGUAUGUGGUCAGCACGACCCUGCUCUGAGUCAAGUCAUUUUUCUGCGUCAAUGACUGUAGGAAUAUUACAGCAACAAUAUGAAGUGACUGACAGCAGGCACGGAACAAAAUGGCUACAGCUAUGCUAGGGGGACAGGCUUCAACAGAUGAAAGUGUCAUCUCUGAGGCUUACUGCCUCUGUCUGCUAACCUAGGCCUAGUCCUGGAAGCUUCUAGCCUAUGUACAACCUAACUUAGGGCCUAGAAUGUUCUCAGCCUCUGGGAUUUACUGGUGAAUAAGCUCACCCCUUCCUUGUUCUUUCUGAUCUCUGGCUGCCUGGUCAACUCAGCUGUCCUGGCUUAAACUCCUCUCCAAGCUGACUGAUUCAAUCUCUCUCUCUCUCUCUCUCUCUCUCUCUCUCUCUCUCUCUCUCUCUCUCUCCCCCAUCCUCCUCCCUCCUUCCCUCCCUCCCUCCCUCAGAUUCUCCUGAACUGCUCUGCUUGGCCUCCAACUAACCCUGGCAAUCUGUUCUGAUCUUCUGGGUCCUUCUCAUUCUCUGGCUUGUUCUGUCUUCACUGGUGUCUAGCUUGUUCUUGCUUCAACCUGUCUAUUAAACUCAUCAGCAAAACUGCCUCCUCUCUCAUUCUCUCUGCACUGCUCUCUUAAGUAGCUUCCCUUUCCUCUUUCUUCUCGUUGGAGUUGUGCAUGUCCUAUUCUGUAUACUCUUUCUCUGAUGUGUCACUUUGCCACUUAAUUAGGCAUUACUUCAAGCACAGGCACUUCCUUCUACAAGUGCUGGGAUUGAAGGUGUGUGCUAGGACUGAGCCACACCAAAACUAGAAACAGGUUUUUCCACCCAUAAGUAACACAAUCUUGGGGUUCAGUGUGAUCAAAUACCCUGCAAUAGAACUCUGAAAAGUGUCAUGAGGUCAUUGAAAGGAAUGGAAGGAAAAUCAAAUAAAUGCAUAGAUCUCUUUGGGUACUGGCAGCCUCCAGACCCAGGAUGUUUCUGUAAGUGGCUUGUCAGGUUGGGUGCCCUGCAAGAGAAGGUCACAGAGUUUCAAUAUAUUGUACAGGAAGAAUGUCGGUAUUGGGAAACUGUUAGCACUGUGUGGUCUAGCACGAUGUAACCAAGGAACUGUCCUGUUCCUGGUAAGGCAGUAGAGCAUGCACACAGAAGCCAGCAGUACAUGGUUGUGGAGGUUCUGCCCUGACCUGCAAAGCAGGAGUUGCCGCAUCAGCUGUUUUUGCUAUCACAGCACUUGGUGGAAUUUCCUUUCCCGAGUUGGGAGUUCCACUUUUGGCCUGCUAAGAGAGACCUGUGUGGAGAAAUGGAAACCUAUAACAUCGGCUGCUGGCAUGAGGUGAUUCACGUCAUCAGUCACGUCUGGGGGUCGGGCUUAUGGUUUUUGCCUUUAUAUGCCUUCUGCUUUGCAAUAAAGUUGAGCCUUGAUCAGAACUU